ACAAUUUUUUAUCUGCAUUUAAAGGCCCUUUAUAAAUGAGAAUGGUAGUGUAGCCUUUCAACCAUGUACAAAUACCAAUUUGACGAUUCUACACUCUCAGCCUUCCAAUGCUACGGCGGAUUGUGAAAAAACAUCAUUGUGUUGGUGGAGUGAUGAUAAGUUUGUAAAUCUGGGAUCGAUCGAGGAAACUCAUUGGCGUUGGACGCAGAAAAAUCCGGAAUUGAUUUUAUCCCACGGAUCUCAUGAAUCCGAGAUUGAGUUGAUCUGUUCAAAUUCAGGGAGCAAAACAGUUUUGACGCUUCUAAACACAACGUCCACUGCGCUCAGACUCCAAUUGUCCUCUGACAAAGUCUGUAUCACUCAUAUGAGGUCUGAAGGGCUCUCCAAAGGUUCAGUCCUCGUUAUUCUAUUUUUCGUCUU
Fopius arisanus is the source of this 420-nucleotide long non-coding RNA. RefSeq lists it as uncharacterized. NCBI's taxonomy places the organism in Eukaryota, Metazoa, Arthropoda, Insecta, Hymenoptera, Braconidae. The record is from RefSeq and is a predicted model, not a curated record. The transcript is spliced from 3 exons.